Molecule: ribosomal RNA, 413 nt
Filed under: Listeria monocytogenes
Lineage: Bacteria; Bacillati; Bacillota; Bacilli; Caryophanales; Listeriaceae
Description: bacterial SSU rRNA
Rfam family: Bacterial small subunit ribosomal RNA
Source: RNAcentral
CCCUUCGGGGACAAAGUGACAGGUGGUGCAUGGUUGUCGUCAGCUCGUGUCGUGAGAUGUUGGGUUAAGUCCCGCAACGAGCGCAACCCUUGAUUUUAGUUGCCAGCAUUUAGUUGGGCACUCUAAAGUGACUGCCGGUGCAAGCCGGAGGAAGGUGGGGAUGACGUCAAAUCAUCAUGCCCCUUAUGACCUGGGCUACACACGUGCUACAAUGGAUAGUACAAAGGGUCGCGAAGCCGCGAGGUGGAGCUAAUCCCAUAAAACUAUUCUCAGUUCGGAUUGUAGGCUGCAACUCGCCUACAUGAAGCCGGAAUCGCUAGUAAUCGUGGAUCAGCAUGCCACGGUGAAUACGUUCCCGGGCCUUGUACACACCGCCCGUCACACCACGAGAGUUUGUAACACCCGAAGUCGGU